This 485-nucleotide ribosomal RNA is filed under the name uncultured bacterium. RNAcentral describes it as "bacterial SSU rRNA". It matches the Rfam family "Bacterial small subunit ribosomal RNA", at positions 28 to 524 of the family's 1533-position model. The record is from RNAcentral.
GACGAACGCUGGCGGCGUGGAUUAGGCAUGCAAGUUGAGCGACGGUUAAGAGCUUGCUCUUAAUACGGAGCAGCGAACGGGUGAGUAACACGUGAACAAUCUGUCCCUUCAUUCCGGAUAAUUGGUCGAAAGGCCUUGUAAUACGGGCGAGGGUCUCCGAGAGGCAUCUUUUGGAGAAGGAAGGCGCAAGCCGUGCAGGGAGGAGUUCGCGGCCUAUCAGUUAGUUGGUGGGGUAANGGCCUACCAAGACGACGACGGGUAGCUGGUCUGAGAGGAUGGUCAGCCACAUUGGAACUGAGACACUGUCCAGACUCCUACGGGAGGCUGCAGUCGAGAAUCUUGGGCAAUGCACGAAAGUGUGACCCAGCGACGCCGCGUGAAGGAUGAAGGCCCUCUGGGUCGUAAACUUCUUUUAAGGGGGAAGAAUAAAUGACGGUACCCCUUGAAUAAGCCACGGCUAACUACGUGCCAGCCGCCGCAGUAAG